CCUACGGGGGGCUGCAGUGGGGAAUAUUGCACAAUGGGCGAAACCCUGAUGCAGCGACGCCGCGUGAGUGAAGAAGUAAUUCGUUUUGUAAAGCUCUAUCAGCAGGGAAGAAAAUGACGGUACCUGAGUAAGAAGCCCCUGCUAACUACGUCCCAGCAGCCGAGGGAAUACGUAGGGGGCAAGCGUUCUCCGGAUUUACUGGGCGUAAAGGGAGCGCAGACGGCAUUGCAAGUCUGGAGUGAAAGCCGCGGGCUCAACCCGGGGACUGCACUGGAUACUGUACGGCUUGAGUGCAGGAGAGGUGAGUGGAAUUCCAGGUGUAGCGGUGAAAUGCGUAGAUAUUUGGAGGAACACCAGUGGCGAAGGCGGCUCCCUGGACUGUAACUGACGCUGAGGCUCGAAAGCGUGGGGAGCAAACAGGAUUAGAUACCCCUGUAGUC
Molecule: ribosomal RNA, 440 nt
Filed under: uncultured bacterium
Lineage: Bacteria
Description: partial 16S ribosomal RNA
Rfam family: Bacterial small subunit ribosomal RNA
Source: RNAcentral